UCCCUGGUGGCUCAGACGGUAAAGCGUCUGCCUGCAAUGCAGGAGACCCAGGUUCGAUCCCUGGGUCGGGAA
Molecule: transfer RNA, 72 nt
Filed under: Capra hircus (goat)
Lineage: Eukaryota; Metazoa; Chordata; Mammalia; Artiodactyla; Bovidae
Also listed under: 2 other names
Rfam family: tRNA
About the family: Transfer RNA (tRNA) molecules are approximately 80 nucleotides in length. Their secondary structure includes four short double-helical elements and three loops (D, anti-codon, and T loops). Further hydrogen bonds mediate the characteristic L-shaped molecular structure. tRNAs have two regions of fundamental functional importance: the anti-codon, which is responsible for specific mRNA codon recognition, and the 3' end, to which the tRNAs corresponding amino acid is attached (by aminoacyl-tRNA synthetases). tRNAs cope with the degeneracy of the genetic code in two manners: having more than one tRNA (with a specific anti-codon) for a particular amino acid; and 'wobble' base-pairing, i.e. permitting non-standard base-pairing at the 3rd anti-codon position.
Source: Rfam by way of RNAcentral